GAUGAACGCUGGCGGCGUGCCUAAUACAUGCAAGUCGAGCGAACAGACGAGGAGCUUGCUCCUUUGACGUUAGCGGCGGACGGGUGAGUAACACGUGGGUAACCUACCUCUAAUACUUGGAUAAUUUCGGGAAACCGGAGCUAAUACCGGCUAAUAUUUCGAACCGCAUGGUUCGAUAGUGAAAGAUGGCUUUGCUAUCACUUUUAGAUGGACCUGCGCCGUAUUAGCUAGUUGGUAAGGUAACGGCUUACCAAGGCAACGAUACGUAGCCGACCUGAGAGGGUGAUCGGCCACACUGGAACUGAGACACGGUCCAGACUCCUACGGGAGGCAGCAGUAGGGAAUCUUCCGCAAUGGGCGAAAGCCUGACGGAGCAACGCCGCGUGAGUGAUGAAGGUCUUCGGAUCGUAAAACUCUGUUAUUAGGGAAGAACAAACGUGUAAGUAACUGUGCACGUCUUGACGGUACCUAAUCAGAAAGCCACGGCUAACUACGUG
Molecule: ribosomal RNA, 497 nt
Filed under: uncultured bacterium
Lineage: Bacteria
Description: partial 16S ribosomal RNA
Rfam family: Bacterial small subunit ribosomal RNA
Source: RNAcentral